AUUAACACGAUCCCUAAAUAAGAUAAAGGAAGCUGGUAUUAAGAAAAAUUAAUAAAGCAAUUAAAAAAAUUUGUGCAAUUUGUCAAUCAACAAGGCAAAAUGUUCAAUGGGCUUCGCAUUCCAAAGACUAAAUCGAUCAAAUGAAUAUACUUUCCAGAAAAGAAUCCACAUAACCCAAAACUAUUAGAAGAUGCAUAACACGAGAAAGCUUGAAGAUUGUUA
RNAcentral lists this unclassified non-coding RNA (222 nucleotides) under Hevea brasiliensis (rubber tree). The record is from RNAcentral. Lineage: Eukaryota; Viridiplantae; Streptophyta; Magnoliopsida; Malpighiales; Euphorbiaceae.